GAUGAAGAACGUAGCGAAAUGCGAUAAGUAAUGUGAAUUGCAGAAUUCAGUGAAUCAUCGAAUCUUUGAACGCACAUUGCGCCCGCUAGUAUUCUGGCGGGCAUGCCUGUCCGAGCGUCAUUUCAACCCUCAAGCCCCCGGGCUUGGUGUUGGGGAUCGGCGAGCCUCCGCGCCCGCCUUCCCCUAAAUCUAGUGGCGGUCUCGCUGUAGCUUCCUCUGCGUAGUAGCACACCUCGCACUGGGAAACAGCGCGGCCACGCCGUUAAACCCCCAACUUCUGAACGUUUGACCUCGGAUCAGGUAGGAAUACCCGCUGAACUUAAGCAUAUCAAUAAGCGGAGGA
RNAcentral lists this unclassified non-coding RNA (343 nucleotides) under soil metagenome. RNAcentral describes it as "partial contains 5.8S ribosomal RNA, internal transcribed spacer 2, and large subunit ribosomal RNA". The stretch from base 1 to 120 matches the Rfam family "5.8S ribosomal RNA", at positions 35 to 154 of the family's 154-position model. The record is from RNAcentral.